Molecule: ribosomal RNA, 253 nt
Filed under: uncultured bacterium
Lineage: Bacteria
Description: partial 16S ribosomal RNA
Rfam family: Bacterial small subunit ribosomal RNA
Source: RNAcentral
CGGAGGGGCUAGCGUUGUUCGGAAUUACUGGGCGUAAAGCGUACGUAGGCGGCUUUGUAAGUUAGAGGUGAAAGCCCGGAGCUCAACUCCGGAAUUGCCUUUAAGACUGCAUCGCUUGAAUCAUGGAGAGGUUAGUGGAAUUCCGAGUGUAGAGGUGAAAUUCGUAGAUAUUCGGAAGAACACCAGUGGCGAAGGCGACUAACUGGACAUGUAUUGACGCUGAGGUACGAAAGCGUGGGGAGCAAACAGGAUU